ACACCCAUUGGAAUCCCAGACCUCGGCACCCUAGCUAAGCCAGCCAUGCACUGCCAACUUGGAAGAACCCCACAUUGGGUCAUUAAAAGACCUGCUGGAUUCCAGGCUUCUGGCACUGACCAUGGCUCAGGCACUCUGCUAGGUGUUAGCAAUACAGUUCUAAACAGGGCUAACAAGGUCUCUGUACUCCUCACAAAGUUUAUUCAAGAGGUGGGAGACAUAUCUUCCAGUGGUGGGAGACAGACAACACAAAAAUGUUUUCAAAUGGUACAAUAGGGUCAUGGAACAAAGAGAACCGUAUUUUAGACAAGACGCUCAGCAAAGAUGGCCUUUCAUUGAGACAGGAAAAGAGAACCAAGCAAAGAUCUGAGAAAAGAUUGCUCCAGGUAGAGGAACCAGCAAGCACAAUGGCCCCGCCUAAGCAAAAGCAGACUCAGCCUGUUUAAGGAAGCAGAAGGUAGAAGUAGCUGGAGUUUAGUAAAUGAGGGGGGAAGUUGGUAGGAAACAUGGUCAGCAAGACAGCCAUGGGCCUGAUAUCACAGAGGCCAUGGGAAGUAUCUGGAUUUUAUUAUAAAUAGACUUGGAAGGCAUUGAAGGGUUUAAACACAAGCAAUAUGAUCUAUACUCAGUUUUUAAAAGAUUGUUCAGUCUGCUGAGUGGUGAUUGAGGGUAGGGUCAGGGAGAGGUGCGGGAAUGAGUAGAAGCAGGAAGGGAAGGCUGGUGACUUGCAGGAGCCCUGGUGAAAGAUGGUGGCUCAGACUAGAAUGACAUCAGUGGAGAGGAAUGAAGUGGUUGGAUUCUGGGUAUAUUCUGGAGGCCAAGCUCAUGAGUAUUAUUGCCAUCGAACUUCAGUUUUCUCAUCUGUAAAAUGAAGAUAAUAAUUCCUGCCCACUCAUCUACAGCAUUACUGAGGAGAGUCACUGUGAGCUUGCUCCACAACCCAGAAAGCAUCAUCACAGGCUCCUGAGCUUCCUAAUGGCAAGUCUGCUUUUGGAUAUCAUUUCCUGCUUUCCAAAUCAACCUCACCACCCAGUGCUCCUUCAUCCUCAUGACAAUCCUGGGAGAUUCUAAGUGCCAUGAGAGGAGAGAUCUUUUCUGUUUCGUUCACUGUGGCUAUCUCUAGGGCUCUAAAUUCUGCUUGCCACUGAAUGAGUGCUCAACAAUUUUUUUGACGAAUAAAAAAAUGAACAAAAUUAUUGAGUGGAGUAAAAAAUAAAUACACACAAAUGCUGCACACGGCCAGAUUAUAUUUCCCAGCCUCCCUUACAGUUAGGAGUGGUCACGUGGCUAAAGGGCUACCGAAUGGAAUGUUCAUGCAUAUUAGUAUGGUGGCCUUGGAUGCCAUACAUUAAGGACGGCAGAAUCACAGGGUAGAAGAAGCCUGAGUCCAUAAACCACCCCUUGAAAGAGAGCCAUCUACCAACCUAAAAUACCUAUUUGGACUUUCUAUGGAUAAAAAAUAAAUCAUAAUGUGUUUAAACCAUUAUAUAUUGGUGCUUGUUGAAGCAGCCAGUGUAUCUAUAGAAGAGUAUGACAACAACAAAAGAAAAAAUUAAAAAUCUCCUGCCACUCAUUCCCAAAGAGGAAGCCUGUGCUGAAUAAAUGAAGGGUACAAACAGGUUUUUGUUGUGUGAUGGGGAGGAACAGUGAAGGAGUGAAGAACGGCAGAAAUUGAGGACAGACCAAAUUUCUCUACAAGAAAAAGCUGUAUGGACGUUCGUGAGAAGGAGAGGAGGACCAGCAUGUGAGGAGAAAGAAACAGAGGAAGAGAGAGGAGGAGAGGAUAUGGAGAAACAGAGUAAGAGACAAAGAUAUAGUGACAAAGAUGGGGAAUGGAGAACUGGGAAGAAUAGUUAGGCAACUACUAAGAAAAGUAGGACUUUGGGAAGAGUCAAAGGAAAUAAACAGCCCCAGGAAGACUUAUUGUAUAUUGAACCAUGUGAUUCUUCCCUACUCCCUCAAGAAAACCUAAAAUAAAGAGCUAUAUGACCUUUCAAGGAAUUUCCAAGCCAAAUUUGUGUUUCUCAUGGAUAUAACACUUUACUAGAAUGGACUUUAAAGCAGAAACAAGACCAGAUUCUCUGAAUUAUAAUAGUAUCCGAAUGAUAGCGGUUUAUUUUGGUUCGGUUCGGUUCGGUUCGGUUCGGUUCGGUUUGGUUUGGUUAAGCAAGAAGAGCACAAAGUUUAAUCCAUAAUCGGCACUUAAUAAACAUCGGGAAGUGAGGGACAAGGAGGCAGGCACGUAAAUGUGGAAUUGGGAUUUACUAUAGACUAAGAAGACAUCUGAGAUGGAAACAUUCACCAAAUCAAGAGAGAAUACUAAAUUACAUGAUCAGAUUUCAAAUAGAUCGACUUAAUGAGAUAAAAAUGUGCUGAGAUGAUCUGGUACACCAAGGAUCCUCAACCCUCAAACCAUGGACCAGUACAGGUUUGUGGCCUGUUAGAAACUGGGCCAUGCAGCAGAAGACUUCUAAACUGCGGACAUGUCAGCACUGUGGCAACAAAGACGAAAUUUGAAAACCAGAUCCCCCUGCCAUCUAAUACCUGCAUCGGAGGGAAGCACGGUGAGCGGGACAUCUUUGGUUUCGAUUUUUACAGAAGGCUCCAGUAACGAUUGCAUU
This is a long non-coding RNA of Pteropus alecto (black flying fox), 2621 nucleotides long. RefSeq lists it as uncharacterized. Lineage: Eukaryota; Metazoa; Chordata; Mammalia; Chiroptera; Pteropodidae. The transcript has 6 exons. The record is from RefSeq and is a predicted model, not a curated record.